UUUUUUUUAAUCAAUUUUCUCUUAAAAUUUUUCUGAACCAGAAACUGACAUUUUCUGAAUCUAUCGGGAGACAGAGUACAAGAUUUAGAACUCAGGUACAUCAUUGCAUAACACAUUUACCUUUAAUAAUUGCUAUUUAGCCGUUCACCUUCUAGAGGUGUAAUAAUAAAUAGACUGAUAUUAAUGCAGUAUGAUAGGGCUGUAUUAAGAAGAUGCACUGUGAGACCUCAUAGGAGGAAGAUAUAACUCAGCCUUGGAGGUGCCAGGGAAAGCCUGGCAGAGCUAACUUAAGCUAAAUUCUGUAAGCAGUGAAUGUAAAGCUGUAGGCCUACGGUGAGGCCAUAGUUUAGAGAGUUAAGCAAAUAUAUGAAGAAGAACACAUGCUUCCUAUUUAUUACUAACAUCUUCAUAAAAACAAGAAUUUUUUUCCCCCAUAGAAUGGUUUUGGUCUUUUGGAAUUACUGACUUUAAAGCUCCUCCUCCUUUCCUUGUUUCCUUUCUCUUACCUGCUUCCCUGUUUGUUUUUUUUCCCCUCUUUUAUCAUUAUCCUUCUCAGUGUUUGUUUAAAAUAAAACAGUCUAUAUGUAAUCAUUGUCUUACAUUUAGUGCUAAUUAAGGUCUCAAGUGUACUGUGAACUUGAGGUAUAAGUUUAGGCUAACUGUAUAAAGUAAGACUGGUUGCAUGGGGGGCACCACUAACUUCACUGUUAAGAUUAGCUGAGUGAUCCCAAAAAUAUGAUUUAAAAAUUGUGUAGUAACGGAACAGAUUCUAGACCAGAAAAACUGCUAUUACUGGCAUCCCAAGACAACCACUAACCCAAAUUAAAUGAAAGGAAUUCAUUUUCUUACUGACCUCCAUUUAAAAUGUUGACCCAUUAUUCAAAAGACCGGUUUUAUUAGUACGUAUGAUACAGAAACAAAAGGUCGCUCAUCUUACUUAAAAAGGUUACUAGCUACUGUAAAAUGGGUCAGUUUUUUUCUUUUAUGCUCACUUGUUUUACUUGUCCUAGGAACUUUCCUGGUAGCUUAAGAUUCUAGUUAAGUUUUUAUUCCUAUGUUAGCAUUUUUCUAAUAGCAUAAUUGGUACCUUUAUUUCCAAAUUGUGCUAGUUAGAUCAUUUUUUCCUUGUGACCAUUCUAUUAAGUAAGUCGUAUUAUCCCUAUAUUAUAGGUGAGAAAAAGUAAUUUUCCCAAGGUCAUAACAAUUACAAGAGCCAGAAUUCAAACUAGGUCAUUCUGACCAAAGAUCCUAUGCUUUUAAUUUCUACUGUCUUGUAUUUUUUUUUUUAAUAUGUACAUGGCAACUAAUUUUACAAAGAAAAUAUUAGUAAGUGCACUUGAGGUUAACUUAAUCUUCUGUCAUUUAUUGAAUGAUUCAUUCAGUACAUAUUUUUUAAACAUUCCUUCUGUGUCAGGCACUGUACUAAGGUGCUGGGGUUGUAGUAGUGAACAAGUUUGAUAAGAUACCUGCCCUUGGGGGACUUGUCUUCUAGUGGGGAAAACAGUAAAUAGGUAAGUAGGCAAGAUAAUUACAGAUUGUGGAGAGUUAUAAAGGUAAUAAAUAUGAUGAGGUACAGGGAUAGAAAGUGGAAAGUUUCGAGGGGCUUUCAAAUAGGGUGACUAGGGAAGGCCUCAAGAGAAUACUCUGAGCAGACAAGGAGGAACCAGUUUUUUGCCAAAUAAACAGUAACUGUUCCAACUUAAAAUGGGGAUGUCCCUUAUUAAAAUGGAGAUAAUAAUUGUGCCUACUGAGAUGUAAAGCACUUACCACAUACCAGGUAUAUAGUCAGAACUCAAUAAAUGUUAGCUGUUAUUAAACAACUAAUAGUAUUACAGCAUCAGAUUUACUGGUUGUAUAUUUUUACAAUACUGUUCCAAAGGUAACAGUGUAUCUCUUAAACAUGUGGAAGGUGCUGUGUCAUUUAAGCACAGUUUUUUUCCUGAGUAUCUGCUAUGGCUGACACUGUUGUAGGCUCUGCAUAUAUAGCUGGGGAUAUUUCUUUAUGGUUAUUAAAAAAAAAAUGAGAAAAAAUUAUUUUGUUUUAAGAAUAUUUUACCACCAAUCUUAAUAUUAUAGGUCAUGUGUGAUAAGCCUGAUGCUUUUGCCCUUUCACAAGGCCUCUUACCUUGAAUGGUAAUUAAAUUAGCAAAGAUUUGAUAAUAUACUGGGUCUGUUACUAAAGAAAAGCACAGAAGGUGAAAAGAUACUUCUAAAAUCUUACAAAGAAUUUUAAAAAGGAUAGAAUUGCAUAGUCCUAAUAAAGUAUUCAGCUGCUGGAGUGAACUAAAUCAUUUCCAUAGCUUCUUAAAUUGGGUGGAUAACUAUUUUUUGCUUGGAAGAGUUAGUUAAAUUCAGCUCCAGAGAUUUUA
This is a long non-coding RNA of Manis pentadactyla (Chinese pangolin), 2369 nucleotides long. RefSeq lists it as uncharacterized. NCBI's taxonomy places the organism in Eukaryota, Metazoa, Chordata, Mammalia, Pholidota, Manidae. The record is from RefSeq and is a predicted model, not a curated record. The transcript has 2 exons.